Saimiri boliviensis boliviensis (Bolivian squirrel monkey) is the source of this 1196-nucleotide non-coding RNA. Lineage: Eukaryota; Metazoa; Chordata; Mammalia; Primates; Cebidae. The record is from RefSeq and is a predicted model, not a curated record.
UGGCGCCACUGCACUCCAGUCCGGGUGAUAGGGUGAGACUCCAUCUCAACAAAAAAAGCAAAAAAAAAAAAAGAAAGAAAAUGCUGUUUGUAUUUUGUGGUCUACCAAGGAGCUCGGGAUAGCCUGUUAUGUUUCCCUCAUGCCAGCCCCUGAGCUGCAUUGGGAGAAGAUGCUGAUUGUCCUUGUCCAGAAUACCUCUUUUGCAGAGUGACAGGCUGCUGUGACAGAUGCCCUCCUUUUGCAUCUUUGUGGAUGUUUCGUUCCGAUGAGGACAUGGGAACCCACGUCACUGACGUCGCUCUUCGUCUUGUUAGUCUCUUGAGGAGUGUUUCUUUUGUACUCUCUUGCUGAUGACCUACCUCUUCAUACGCCAAGCUGAAACAAGCUGAAACAAGCUGAUGAACUGCCUAGGACUUCCAUGUGUUGCUCACAUACGUGAUUUCUGUCAUGCUCGUGUUCAGACACUGAUGUUACCAUGUAUGUCACACCUCCUUAUGGUUGCAUGUCCUGACUGUUAAACUGAUUACAGACUAUUAAAUAUGAAUGGAGUUAUGGAUAUGUUCUGGCGAAAUUCUUAUCCAUCUGGAUGGGGCAGGGCCCUUGACUCCCCUGAAUCAGAUGAGCAGCCGUCAUUACUUCCUCUAGCCGCACUACAGAAUUGGCACAGACUGGAUUAAUGCUUCCAAAGACAGAAGGAAGGACCUUGGCACCUGAACUGACCAGCCCUGUGGUCCUGAUCCCACAGGAGUCACUCAUCAGGACUUACCAGACUGUUGCUCUUGGAUUUCAUCUGCCGGGCUGAUGAUUUGGCUUGGCCAAGAGUCUUGCCAAGACUUUAAUCUAGGCCUCUUGUUCAAGAUGGAUUCCCAGGUGAUGUUGCUGGCUAUGGUAUGAUCCUUUCACACCAAGGAUUUCACUUUUUAAAACGCGUUUCUUUAAAAGAAGCCUUGAUAAUGAGAGUGGGGGUAGGAGGCAGCAGAUUUGGAAGACUGUGGCCCGUCGUGUCCUGGAGCAGGGCGAAGGGAGGAGAAAGACAGUUCCCACAUCAUCGCGGCUGUGUGCCCUUUACCCCUUUUCAGGAUCCUUAGAUUUGUCUCCCUCUACCCCGACGAUUUUGCAAUCAUGUGCCUUAUCAGUUGUGAGUUUACAGGCAAAGCAAUUUCCCAAAUAAAUAUCCCAAAUGGCUAUAAGUGUUC